AUGCAACGCGAAGAACCGUUACCAGGCCUUGACAUGCAGAGAACUUUCCAGAGAUGGAUUGGUGCCUUCGGGAACUCUGACACAGGUGCUGCAUGGCUGUCGUCAGCUCGUGUCGUGAGAUGUUGGGUUAAGUCCCGUAACGAGCGCAACCCUUGUCCUUAGUUACCAGCACGUUAUGGUGGGCACGUCUAAGGAGACGUGCCGGUGACAAACCGGAGGAAGGUGGGGAUGACGUCAAGUCCUCAUGGCCUUUAUGACCAGGGCUACACACGUACUACAAUGGCCGAUACAAAGGGCAGCGACACUGCGAGGUGAAGCCAAUCCCGUAAAAUCGGUCUCAGUCCGGAUUGGAGUCUGCAACUCGACUCCAUGAAGUUGGAAUCGCUAGUAAUCGUGGAUCAGCAUGCCACGGUGAAUACGUUCCCGGGCCUU
Molecule: ribosomal RNA, 432 nt
Filed under: uncultured Pseudomonas sp.
Lineage: Bacteria; Pseudomonadati; Pseudomonadota; Gammaproteobacteria; Pseudomonadales; Pseudomonadaceae
Description: bacterial SSU rRNA
Rfam family: Bacterial small subunit ribosomal RNA
Source: RNAcentral